AUGGAUCGGCCAGCCCAGAAGAGGAGAUGAAGCUGAAACCUCCCAGGAAGAUUCUGUUGACACUUGGUCUCCCAGAAUCUGCAUUGGAGUUUGGUAUUUCAAAGUGCACACAGUAGGUACACAAUUGUACUGAAUCUUUAGAGGGAUGAGAAGGCAGAAUCAUCUUUCUCCAACAUGCUGAGAAAAGGAUGGCACAACGACAUAAUGAGGAAAUUCCAGGAUCAUCCUCAAUCACUUGCUCUUUAUGCUGAUUACUUCACAGGAGACUAUUUAACCUACCCGCCUGCUUACAAAGCCCCUCCAGGGUUUCACGAUGUAACCCAGGCUGGUCUUGAACUUCAAACAUCCUUACUCAGCCUCCACUGUACUGGGAUUGCACCAAGGGAUUACCGAAAUGGAAGACAUUUUUCGAAGAAUGAUGUUUGACGCUGGGCGUCACCACUGAAACGUCUUAGAACAUCAAAAUCAUUAUUAUGCAAUUUUGAUGAACAAAAACUGUGGGUGUGACUGGCAAAUAAACUC
This is a long non-coding RNA of Jaculus jaculus (lesser Egyptian jerboa), 522 nucleotides long. RefSeq lists it as uncharacterized. The record is from RefSeq and is a predicted model, not a curated record. The transcript is spliced from 4 exons. NCBI's taxonomy places the organism in Eukaryota, Metazoa, Chordata, Mammalia, Rodentia, Dipodidae.